Daphnia magna is the source of this 1372-nucleotide long non-coding RNA. RefSeq lists it as uncharacterized. NCBI's taxonomy places the organism in Eukaryota, Metazoa, Arthropoda, Branchiopoda, Diplostraca, Daphniidae. The transcript has 8 exons. The record is from RefSeq and is a predicted model, not a curated record.
CUGGAGUGUUGCGUUAAUCUAGUCGAUUAAAACCACAUUAAGUGUCCUCAGUGUCGCAUAUUCACUCCGGUUAGUGCCGGGCAAAUCUCUGUGAAUUAGGAUCUCCAAACCGAUCACGAUUUGAUGGCCCUACUUUUGCAAACAAAAAAAAUUUAUUAACACAGAGAAAUUUAUUAUCACAGAGACAUUCACCUGUAUCUGCCACUGGCACGAUAAAAUCGAUAUUAAUUGUUGGAAAUGGUUAUAGGAAUCUAUAGUGAUUCAGCUCCUCCUCCAGUGAGUGGGAUUUCAAAAAGGUGCAAGCCGUGGCCGCUAGAUGGCGUUUGUGGAUGGUGAUUAUUUUCUGCGAAAUUAUGGCAACCGGUUUUACCAACAUUUAUUUUUUCUCUUUCCAAAAAAAAAAAAAAAAUCUCUACUCUUUCGCCAUCUAGCGGUCGAUCUUGAACUCGGUUUCCCAAGUGAUUUAUUCCCUUUGUGUGACAUUGCACUAUUGCAGUUGCAGUCGAAGUCCUCGCGUUGCUGAGUCCCUCAAACAGCCUGCUGAUUUCUGAGCACAACAUCAAUCUUAAGUGAUUUCGUCGGCCGAAAGCGUCAGACGUUGAAUUCUGAGCACAGCAUCACCAUGGCUCAAAAUUAUUUGGUCGGCCGAAAGCGUCAGACAUUGAAUUCACCAUCUGAUAAGGGUAUGAAGGUGAAUUCCAUCAGUGCUGUACUUAAACAUUCUCUGUCAGUAGUUCCAUGUCCAGACGGGACAGAACAUCUAUGGGAUAGAAUCAUAUGCUACGUUGGACUUGGUUAUUCAGUGAGAAGAAUAACGUGAGCUGUACUUAAACAUUCUCUGUCAGUAGUUCCAUGUCCAGACGGGACAGAACAUCUAUGGGAUAGAAUCAUAUGCUACGUUGGACUUGGUUAUUCAGUGAGAAGAAUAACGUGAGAAGAAUAACAACACACAACAUUUCUCAUUAGACUUGCAGUUAGGGAUGACGACUUCAAAGACAAAACAUCUGGAACAGGUUGGAAAGAAUUGCUUCUCGUUCCUUCCAACAACCGGCUUUUCGUAACAACUGUUUCUAUCUCUCGUUUCACCAUGUUGAAUUCAACUUGACCGACAUCAGCAGUACUGCAGGAGCGACGCUUUCACUUUCAGAGCCUCAGGAACGCGAGGACUUCGACUGCAGUAUCACACAAAGAGACAGUGUUGCCACGAAAAAAAUCAUGAUCGGGAUCGUUUACUGUUAUAUUAAAGUCUGUUGGAGACAAUGUUGUCAUAACAUGCUUCAAAACUCUCCCUGUAACAAUUUCCCCUCCACUUUCUUUAAUGUAACUUUGCAAUUCUUCUACACAAAGAGAAAUACAGAUGGGAAAUAACAAA